Molecule: ribosomal RNA, 256 nt
Filed under: uncultured Sphingobacteriales bacterium
Lineage: Bacteria; Pseudomonadati; Bacteroidota; Sphingobacteriia; Sphingobacteriales
Description: partial 16S ribosomal RNA
Rfam family: Bacterial small subunit ribosomal RNA
Source: RNAcentral
UUAAGCUGGGGACUCUAAAGGAACUGCCUACGCAAGUAGUGAGGAAGCGGGGAUGACGUCAAAUCAGCACGGCCCUUACGUCCAGGGCUACACACGUGCUACAAUGGCCGAUACAGAGGGCAGCUACCUGGUGACAGGAUGCAAAUCUCCAAAGUCGGUCUCAGUUCGGAUCGGAGUCUGCAACCCGACUCCGUGAAGUUGGAUUCGCUAGUAAUCGCGCAUCAGCCAUGGCGCGGUGAAUACGUUCCCGGGCCUU